GGACAAAGGAGACUGAGAGGCUGAAAAGCGGAGAGAGUGAACACUGUAUAAAAUAAACCCGAUUGCCGAGAGCAAAAAAAAGAGGGACUUUGGAAACGAAUGGUACCUGCGCUGGAUAUGGAGGGCUUCCCUCACAGAUGGCGCCUCGAACCCCAGGGCCGGUGUGCUGGGAGUGCGGCCAACCUGGGCAUGUACGCCGGGAGUGCUCCAUGAUGGAGGUGGGGCAGGUGUUACAGGUUGUCGGGCCUCCAGCACCCGCCCCCGAUUCAGGGGAGACAUACUGUGUCCCGCUGUACAUGGACUGGCACUUCAUUAUAUCUCGGACCUCAAUCGGACUUACAAUCCUGCGCUCUUCUCUCUGGUCGGCCCUAAGCUCUGGAACACUCUGCCCCUCCAUAUUUGAACUGCUCCCACAGUGGAGUGUUUUAUGUCUCGUCUUUAGACCCAUUUUUAUUCUGUGGCUUUUAAACCUACGUGAGUUGCGUGGUCCUCUGUUGUCCUCUGUGUUUUUAAAAUUUAGAUUUGUAUUUACUGUUUUAAUUGGUUUCACCCUUAAAAUU
Long non-coding RNA from Nerophis ophidion (straightnose pipefish), 560 nucleotides. RefSeq lists it as uncharacterized. The record is from RefSeq and is a predicted model, not a curated record. The transcript is spliced from 3 exons. Lineage: Eukaryota; Metazoa; Chordata; Actinopteri; Syngnathiformes; Syngnathidae.